CAACUCGCCUGCAUGAAGUCGGAAUUGCUAGUAAUCGCGGAUCAGCAUGCCGCGGUGAAUACGUUCUCGGGCCUUGUACACACCGCCCGUCACACCAUGGGAGUCGGUAACACCCGAAGUCUGUAGCCUGACGCAAGAGGGCGCAGCCGAAGGUGGGAUUGAUGACUGGGGUGAAGUCGUAACAAGGUAAC
Molecule: ribosomal RNA, 191 nt
Filed under: uncultured bacterium
Lineage: Bacteria
Description: partial 16S ribosomal RNA
Rfam family: Bacterial small subunit ribosomal RNA
Source: RNAcentral